UGUGUGUGGUGAGGAGGAGGAGAGCAGCUGAGCAUUUUACUUCACCUCACUUUUAAAUCAAACAACAAUGCUCUCAUUAUCGGUGCUGCUGCUGCUUUCAGCUGCAUUCUGUGGUGUUAGCGGUGUGGAGCUCACUCAGACAGCCUCUGUGCUCGUGAAGCCUGGAGAGUCGUUCUCCAUCUCUUGUAAGAUCUCAGUGUCGAGUUAUUGUAUUACCUGGAUACGGCAACCUGCUGGAAAAGCUCUGGAAUGGCUCGGAUAUCUCUGUAGUAGCAGUAGCACUGAUCUCAAAGACACAAUGAAGAGCAAGAUCAGUCUCAGCCAGGACAAAUCCAUCAGCACGGUUUAUUUAAGAGGACAAAACUUUCAGGUCGAGGACACGGCUGUGUAUUACUGUGCCAGAGACACAACACGACAAACUCACUGA
This is a non-coding RNA of Hemibagrus wyckioides, 427 nucleotides long. NCBI's taxonomy places the organism in Eukaryota, Metazoa, Chordata, Actinopteri, Siluriformes, Bagridae. The record is from the annotation of a RefSeq genome assembly.